GGUAUGGGAUGAGCUUGCGUCCGAUUAGCUAGUUGGCGGGGCAACGGCCCACCAAGGCGACGAUCGGUAGCCGGCCUGAGAGGGUGAUCGGCCACAUUGGGACUGAGAUACGGCCCAGACUCCUACGGGAGGCAGCAGUAGGGAAUAUUGCACAAUGGGGGGAACCCUGAUGUAGCAACGCCACGUGUGGGAAGAAGCAUUUCGGUGUGUAAACCACUGUCGUGAGGGAAUAAGGCCUGUUCUAGGACAGGAUUGAAUGUACCUCGAAAGGAAGCGCCGGCAAACUUCGCGCCAGCAGCCGCGGUAAUACGAGGGGUGCAAGCGUUGUUCGGAAUCACUGGGCGUAAAGGGAGCGUAGGCGGAGAUUCAAGCGGAUUGUACAAUCCCGGGGCCCAACCCCGGACCUGCAGUCCGAACUGGAUCUCUUGGAUAGUUCAGGGGCAGGC
This 446-nucleotide ribosomal RNA is filed under the name uncultured bacterium. RNAcentral's name for it is "bacterial SSU rRNA". It matches the Rfam family "Bacterial small subunit ribosomal RNA", at positions 217 to 662 of the family's 1533-position model. The record is from RNAcentral.